GAUGAACGCUAGCUACAGGCUUAACACAUGCAAGUCGCGGGGCAGCAUUUCUUUAGCUUGCUAAGGAAGAUGGCGACCGGCGCACGGGUGAGUAACGCGUAUCCAACCUGCCCUUGUCCACGGGAUAACCCGGUGAAAACCGGCCUAAUACCGUAUGAGGUCACAAGCGGACAUCCAACUGUGACGAAAGGUUUAGCGGACAAGGAUGGGGAUGCGUCCGAUUAGCUUGACGGCGGGGUAACGGCCCACCGUGGCUACGAUCGGUAGGGGUUCUGAGAGGAAGGUCCCCCACAUUGGAACUGAGACACGGUCCAAACUCCUACGGGAGGCAGCAGUGAGGAAUAUUGGUCAAUGGACGGGAGUCUGAACCAGCCAAGUAGCGUGCAGGAUGACGGCCCUAUGGGUUGUAAACUGCUUUUGUGCGGGGAUAAAGUGUGGGACGUGUCCCAUAUUGCAGGUACCGCAUGAAUAAGGACCGGCUAAUUCCGUG
RNAcentral lists this ribosomal RNA (490 nucleotides) under uncultured bacterium. RNAcentral describes it as "bacterial SSU rRNA". It matches the Rfam family "Bacterial small subunit ribosomal RNA", at positions 28 to 507 of the family's 1533-position model. The record is from RNAcentral.